ACUUUAUCAGCUAUAUAUUUAAAUAUAUGUUAAAUCCAAUGUUCAUAUUUUUAGUGACGAGAAGUAUAUAUAAACAAUAAACAAUCAUAAGAGUAACUGCAUAUUAAGUUACUACAUGAAUUUGACUUUUUCUUUGAAAAGUCUCCUUAUAUAUGUAUGGAUAUAUAGAAAACAUUUAUGUUAUAAACGUUUGACUACUUGUAGAAAGGGGCUGAUGCUUACAAACUUAUUCACGGGCAUGAUUGGUAGCCCAUAAAAAGCCAUAAAAAACCAUAAAAGCCCAUAAAAGGCCCUCUUCUUCAACCUUCUCCUCCGUUUGGCAGAACUCGAAUUUGUUGGCGAACCCGGUAGAAAAAUCCCGGAUCUUGCUGGUUUUGAGAUUAGAUUCGGCGACUGAGACAUUCCAUUAUCGGUGACAAAAGCAGCCACAUACCCAUAAUCAUGAGACACUGAUUCGGCAGUGAUCGUGUGCGAGCGGCCGUCUAUCAUAACAUUGUUGGGGAGCUGGCGUUGGUGGAUGUUGGUAGAAUCGGCAGUGAUGAGCAGGAGCAGGUUUUGGAUAAGCUGAUUGCCGCUGUGAAUGAAGAUAUGGAGGGUAUUUGAGAAGAAUUAUGCAGAGAUUUGACGUAAGUAGGCCUGGAAUUUCCAAAAGUCGAGGUUCGGUUUGAGAAUCUGAAGGUCGAUGCUUUAGUUCAUGUCGGAAGCAGAGCUCUGCCGACUAUACCUAAUUUCAUUUUUGACAUGACUGAGGUAAACAUGCGAGAACGAAAAUCCAAUAUGCCAAGUGGUCUCUAUUUUCAAAAUUAAGCUAACAUGUUCAAUGGAAACAUGGCGUGAAAAAUUGGCCUUCUUGAGGCAGCUCAGAAUUUUCUCUGGUGGAAGACGAAAAGAAACACAUGCAAAAGAAAACCUUCAUCUAUUGAGUGGACUCAUACAAAGGAGCAGUGAGGAGUCUUGAAAGAGAUACAAUGAUACCCGAACUCUCUAAAAAAGUAGGGAUAUUUUUGGCAAUGCACGUAAAUAAACUGCAGACUGAUCAAGAGCAUAUUACCAAACUGACCCAACAGGCAUACUUUAAGGGGGUGUUCGGUUGGUAAGAUUAAAUCUCAUGAUUAAAUAUGUAUCAUGUUUGAUUCAUAAGAUUGAACCCUUCAACUUAAUCCUAGAUGGAUAGUCUCA
This is a long non-coding RNA of Salvia splendens (bonfire salvia), 1179 nucleotides long. RefSeq lists it as uncharacterized. NCBI's taxonomy places the organism in Eukaryota, Viridiplantae, Streptophyta, Magnoliopsida, Lamiales, Lamiaceae. The transcript has 3 exons. The record is from RefSeq and is a predicted model, not a curated record.